GGAGUUAGCCGGUGCUUCUUCUGCGAGUAACGUCACAGAUGUAAGGUAUUAACUUACACCCUUUCCUCCUCGCUGAAAGUGCUUUACAACCCGAAGGCCUUCUUCACACACGCGGCAUGGCUGCAUCAGGGUUUCCCCCAUUGUGCAAUAUUCCCCACUGCUGCCUCCCGUAGGAGUCUGGGCCGUGUCUCAGUCCCAGUGUGGCUGAUCAUCCUCUCAGACCAGCUAGGGAUCGUCGCCUAGGUGAGCCUUUACCUCACCUACUAGCUAAUCCCACCUGGGCUUAUCCAUCAGCGCAAGGCCCGAAGGUCCCCUGCUUUCCCCCGUAGGGCGUAUGCGGUAUUAUCAGUCGUUUCCAACUGUUAUCCCCCACAAAUGGGCAAAUUCCCAGGCAUUACUCACCCGUCCGCCGCUCGUCAUCUUCAAAAGCAAGCUUUUGAAAUGUUACCGCUCGACUUGCAUGUGUUAGGCCUGCCGCCAGCGUUCAAUCUGAGCCAUAAUCAAACUCUGA
RNAcentral lists this ribosomal RNA (511 nucleotides) under uncultured bacterium. RNAcentral describes it as "partial 16S ribosomal RNA". The record is from RNAcentral.